Molecule: ribosomal RNA, 304 nt
Filed under: uncultured bacterium
Lineage: Bacteria
Description: bacterial SSU rRNA
Rfam family: Bacterial small subunit ribosomal RNA
Source: RNAcentral
ACUCCUACGGGAGGCAGCAGUGGGGAAUAUUGCACAAUGGGCGCAGCCAUGACUGCAGCCAUGCCGCGUGUGUGAGAAGGCCAAUCGGGCUUGGUUAAAGACACUUUCAGUCGUGAGGAAGGUAGUGUAGUUAAUAGCUGCAUUAUUUGACGUUAGCGACAGAAGAAGCACCGGCUAACUCCGUGCCAGCAGCCGCGGUAAUACGGAGGGUGCGAGCGUUAAUCGGAAUUACUGGGCGUAAAGCGCAUGCAGGUGGUUUGUUAAGUCAGAUGUGAAAGCCCGGGGCUCAAGCCUCGGAAUUGCA